This 277-nucleotide unclassified non-coding RNA is filed under the name Hevea brasiliensis (rubber tree). The record is from RNAcentral. Lineage: Eukaryota; Viridiplantae; Streptophyta; Magnoliopsida; Malpighiales; Euphorbiaceae.
CUGUUUCUCUCAACCCUUACCAAUGGCGUCCACGAAACGCGAGUUCCAACCUGUAGACGAACCGGAAUCUGAACAACCUGAGUCCAAAAGGAUAAGGUCUGAUGCUGAUGGUUCGGAUUCUCCAAAAACACAGCCUUGCAGGAACUCCGUGGUUCUCAAUCACGCUGAUUGCAACUUAGAUUUCGACAUUGGAAAUGAUGGUCUUAAAGGUUCUGCUCUUCAUGAGGAGGGGUUUGCUUAUUGCUGGUCUGGUGCUCGUGCAAAUUUUGGAAUCACU